RNAcentral lists this ribosomal RNA (688 nucleotides) under uncultured bacterium. Its description in RNAcentral is "bacterial SSU rRNA". It matches the Rfam family "Bacterial small subunit ribosomal RNA", at positions 79 to 763 of the family's 1533-position model. The record is from RNAcentral.
CUUGCUUCUCUUGAGAGCGGCGGACGGGUGAGUAAUGCCUAGGAAUCUGCCUGGUAGUGGGGGAUAACGUUCGGAAACGGACGCUAAUACCGCAUACGUCCUACGGGAGAAAGCAGGGGACCUUCGGGCCUUGCGCUAUCAGAUGAGCCUAGGUCGGAUUAGCUAGUUGGUGGGGUAAUGGCUCACCAAGGCGACGAUCCGUAACUGGUCUGAGAGGGUGAUCAGUCACACUGGAACUGAGACACGGUCCAGACUCCUACGGGAGGCAGCAGUGGGGAAUAUUGGACAAUGGGCGAAAGCCUGAUCCAGCCAUGCCGCGUGUGUGAAGAAGGUCUUCGGAUUGUAAAGCACUUUAAGUUGGGAGGAAGGGUUGUAGAUUAAUACUCUGCAAUUUUGACGUUACCGACAGAAUAAGCACCGGCUAACUCUGUGCCAGCAGCCGCGGUAAUACAGAGGGUGCAAGCGUUAAUCGGAAUUACUGGGCGUAAAGCGCGCGUAGGUGGUUUGUUAAGUUGGAUGUGAAAUCCCCGGGCUCAACCUGGGAACUGCAUUCAAAACUGACUGACUAGAGUAUGGUAGAGGGUGGUGGAAUUUCCUGUGUAGCGGUGAAAUGCGUAGAUAUAGGAAGGAACACCAGUGGCGAAGGCGACCACCUGGACUAAUACUGACACUGAGGUGCGAAAGCGUG